AUCUUCCACAAUGGGCGAAAGCCUGAUGGAGCAACGCCGCGUGAGUGAAAAAGGUUCUCGGAUCGUAAAACUCUGUUGUAAGGAAAGAACAAGUACAGCAGUAACUGGCUGUACCUUGACGGUAACUUAUUAGAAAGCCACGGCUAAGUACGUGCCAGCAGCCGUGGUAAUACGUAGGUGGCAAGCGUUGUCCGGAAUUAUUGGGCGUAAAGCGCGCGCAGGCGGUCCUUUAAGUCUGAUGUGAAAGCCCACGGCUCAACCGUGGAGGGUCAUUGGAAACUGGAGGAAUUGAGUGCAGAAGAGGAAAGUGGAAUUCCAAGUGUAGCGGUGAAAUGCGUAGAGAUUUGGAGGAACACCAGUGGCGAAGGCGACUUUCUGGUCUGUAACUGACGCUGAGGCAAGAAAGCGUGGGGAGCAAACAGG
Molecule: ribosomal RNA, 423 nt
Filed under: uncultured bacterium
Lineage: Bacteria
Description: partial 16S ribosomal RNA
Rfam family: Bacterial small subunit ribosomal RNA
Source: RNAcentral